Molecule: ribosomal RNA, 121 nt
Filed under: Loma branchialis
Lineage: Eukaryota; Fungi; Microsporidia; Glugeidae
Description: partial large subunit ribosomal RNA
Source: RNAcentral
CUCUGCGCAAGGGAUCUUUUGGUUCGCUAGACGAAGAAGGGCGCAGCGGAAUGCGAAAUGUGCAAGAGCAGCAGCGAAGAUAGCACAUGCCUGAAAUCACGAGAGUGAGACUACCCCUUUG